RNAcentral lists this ribosomal RNA (253 nucleotides) under uncultured bacterium. Its description in RNAcentral is "partial 16S ribosomal RNA". It matches the Rfam family "Bacterial small subunit ribosomal RNA", at positions 524 to 776 of the family's 1533-position model. The record is from RNAcentral.
UACGUAGGGCGCAAGCGUUGUCCGGAAUUAUUGGGCGUAAAGAGCUCGUAGGUGGUUUGUCGCGUUGUUCGUGAAAACCGGGGGCUUAACCCUCGGCGUGCGGGCGAUACGGGCAGACUGGAGUACUGCAGGGGAGACUGGAAUUCCUGGUGUAGCGGUGGAAUGCGCAGAUAUCAGGAGGAACACCGGUGGCGAAGGCGGGUCUCUGGGCAGUAACUGACGCUGAGGAGCGAAAGCGUGGGGAGCGAACAGG